GAUUGGAGCACGAUGGGGAGGUUGAGGCAGAGAGAACUACUAGUUUAGUGUGGCAAGAAGGGCAAAGGAGGUGGCGAUGAAGUGGAUGGGGCCACAAGAACUAAGGUACCGGAUGGUGUGGUGGUUAUCGAAAGACCAUAGAUCAAGAGAAGAGGAUGGUAGCAAGGCAAUAGAGUGCGGCAAGCUGGCCCCUCUAUUCAUCGGAUUUAAAGAUCGAGUAGGGGAUCAGCCGCAU
This 235-nucleotide long non-coding RNA is filed under the name Phoenix dactylifera (date palm). Its description in RNAcentral is "long non-coding RNA (PDAC_LNC007433)". The record is from RNAcentral. Lineage: Eukaryota; Viridiplantae; Streptophyta; Magnoliopsida; Arecales; Arecaceae.